AUACCAUGAUGUGGACACGUAACCAGCAGACCCUUGAACCUCUCCCACAUUUCUUGUAAUGUCUCUAUUGGUUUCUGUCUGAAGCUCAAUAUCUCAUCAAUUUGUUG
This 107-nucleotide small nucleolar RNA is filed under the name Nicotiana attenuata. Its description in RNAcentral is "Plant small nucleolar RNA R71". It matches the Rfam family "Plant small nucleolar RNA R71". Rfam says of the family: R71 is a member of the C/D box family of snoRNAs containing the C (UGAUGA) and D (CUGA) box motifs. The record is from Rfam by way of RNAcentral. Lineage: Eukaryota; Viridiplantae; Streptophyta; Magnoliopsida; Solanales; Solanaceae.